RNAcentral lists this long non-coding RNA (354 nucleotides) under Carica papaya (papaya). Its description in RNAcentral is "long non-coding RNA (CPAP_LNC009420)". Lineage: Eukaryota; Viridiplantae; Streptophyta; Magnoliopsida; Brassicales; Caricaceae. The record is from RNAcentral.
ACAGGCUGCAUGAGGAAGAAGGAGAAAAAAAAAUUAAAAGUUAUGGGCUUAUUGGGUUUAUUUUUAUGUUUUAAAUUAAUUUAUAUGGGCUUGGUCCACAAGAAGGGAAAAAAAGAAAAUAAGGAAAGGGAGAGGCCCAUUUGACUGGGCCAACCUAGCCCAGACCCAACCCGGUCCAAGACUCGACUAGGUGUUGACCUAGUCAAUGGUUGACCAGUCAACAGUGAACGGUUGACAGUCAAUGGUGAACGAUUAACCGAUCAUCAGUCAACGAUUAAUUUUGACUGGUCAACAGUGAAGCUUUUGACCCAAAAAAAAAAGAAUUUCUUUUAAAGAUAUUUUUUCUCAUUUUAU